AGUUAGGAUACAGUAAGAAGGCCACCGGCUGCAAGCCAGGAAGGAAGGCUUCACUCAUUACCAAAUUGACCAGCACCUUGAUCUUGGACAUCUCAGGCUUCAGAACUCACUCAGCCAUCAUGAUACAGGCUUUUCCUGAGGGCACAGGCAGAUGCCAAGUAGGCACAGAGUCAGAGGGAGAACCGUGGACACAGAACCAUAGAAGCUGAGCUCUCACUACUGGAUUCAAGUCCCAGACAUAAUACUUGCUGGCUGUGUGGCCUUGGGAAGGCACAUGACCACUCUCAGUGAAAGUGAAACUGGAAAGUUUCUGCUCCGCAGAGAUUUUCUUACAAAUGAGAUGAGUUCGCAAGAACA
Rhinopithecus roxellana (golden snub-nosed monkey) is the source of this 357-nucleotide long non-coding RNA. RefSeq lists it as uncharacterized. The transcript has 3 exons. The record is from RefSeq and is a predicted model, not a curated record. Lineage: Eukaryota; Metazoa; Chordata; Mammalia; Primates; Cercopithecidae.